AUGUUAUCAAGAAAGGCGGAGGGAUUAGACCCUAUGAAGCCUUAGCAACCCUUGUAUAUGUGAAGUUCACAAACAAGAAGGUGCUAAAUUCUACUAAUUGAUUUAUCGGUUGGAUAGAUAACCC
This 124-nucleotide non-coding RNA is filed under the name Flavobacteriaceae bacterium MAR_2010_188. RNAcentral describes it as "SAM riboswitch aptamer (S box leader)". It matches the Rfam family "SAM riboswitch aptamer (S box leader)". From Rfam's summary of the family: The SAM riboswitch is found upstream of a number of genes which code for proteins involved in methionine or cysteine biosynthesis in Gram-positive bacteria. The record is from Rfam by way of RNAcentral. RNAcentral also lists the same sequence under 1 other name. Lineage: Bacteria; Pseudomonadati; Bacteroidota; Flavobacteriia; Flavobacteriales; Flavobacteriaceae.